UGUGUGUGUGUGUGUGUGUUAUUUCACAACUUACUCGUUCCUUGGACAUGUCCCUGCCUGAAAUAUUUUAUCCAAAGACACAACGACUUCACCGAGGAACACGUCGAGUCCGAUGAGCACCCGGAGCAUGACGGUGAGGAUCAAAUCCCCGCUGCCGGGCGGAUGCGCCCCCAUACACUCCAGCAGGCCGGGCUGCAGCUCCAGGGAACACUCCUCAUUCCACUCCGGCUCGGCCGCUUUCUCUGCCAGACCCGUCGUGUACUUCAGCUUCCCCAGCUGGAUAACGGUGUACACAUAGCGGCUGCCCUGCUUGCCCUUGGUUCGCAGCGCCCUGGCACGAAGGACGGUCACGUUGACGUGGGUCGGGACCCAUCUCUGAUCCUCAUCGUCCAGGCUGAUCAGAGGCAUGGCCCAAAAACUAGCAGAUGUCCUGAAACCACUAAUGCACUAUCCCGCAGUUAUGCGUGUCUGUAAAAUCUCCGCAUUCUCCUCCUCCAGACAGACAGACAGACAGACAGACAGAGUCGCAGAGCAGCGCGUCAAGAGAAAGCGACAGAAACCUCAAACACCGCCGACGCUCAUAAAAGCAACAACAAAUAACAAUUUAACAGCAGAGUCGCUACUUUUUUGCAUCAACCGAACAGAUUGCUGUGUUUUGACAGCAGCUCAAUCCGGCCCCGCCCUCCUUUCUCUCUCUCUCUCUCUCUCUCUCACAGUAGGCCUGUUGUGCAGCAGUACUCGAAAUUUAAAGAGAAAGCCAGCACAUUGUUGUUUCUCAGGGCUCAGUCUAUCUAAUAUCUACAGUGGCAUGCAAAAGUUUGGGCACCCUUACUGAAAAUGUCUGUUACUGUGAAUAGUUAAGUGAGCAGAAGAUGAACUGAUCACCGAAAGGCAUAAAGUCUGUCCCUCUGAGUUACAUGUCGGUCCUGGGAUUGAGAUGCUGACCUCUUCUGCUCCUCGGACCUGCCUGAUCCAUCCAUGGUGCCCUGUGUCUGGUUGGAGUCUCAUCGCAUUGCUCCUGCGGAGGACGGCCCCAUGUAGACAGUGGGGGGUCGUGCCUGGAGGACGCUCUGGACUCUUGCAGUGGUGCUUUUGUGGCUGGGGACUGCAGUUGACUUUGGGACUGUGGUUGUCAUGAACAGUUUUGCGCUCAGGUUUCCAUCAGUGGGGAGCUGUGGCAGACUGUUUCCAUCCUUUUUUUAGCCAAUUUGAGCUUCUGAAGUCUGGGAGGUGCUAUAGGGCUCCUCUGGCUAAAAGUGUAUUGAAAAUUUUAUUCCAAAUGCCAUUAGCAUUCUUAACUCAGUGAGUGAUCCACAGACACUGAUAAUUGCUAUUUGUCUUUUUAUGCCUCCGCCACCUCAAGGUGCAGGAGGCAUUAUGUUUUCGGGUUGUCCGUCUGUCUGUCCGUCCGUGCGUGCGUCCGUCUGUCCCAAAACCUUGUGAACACGAUAUCUCAAAGGCUAAUGAAAGGAAUUUCACCAAACUUUCACCAUUUGUGCGCUUUGGGACAAACAUGAACUGAUUAGAUUUUGAGGUUAAAAGGUCACAGGUCAAGAUUACUGUGAGGUCAAAUGUCCAUCCCCAAAUCACAACUUAAUAAGGUGUGUAGUCUACCAGGCGGAGGCAUCCCCAUCGACGCCGUUGACGUCGAGUUCUAUCUAGUUUAUUUUAUUUUGCACAACCCUCUGUGUUUGUUGUCUGUGUUGCUGUUUGUAAAGUUUUGUUGAAAUGUGUGGUGUUUGCAUGUUAUGUGAUGGUGAGCUAAAGAUAAUUUUCCUCCUUGGUGGACAAUAAAGAUUUAUUCUAUUUUA
Neoarius graeffei (lesser salmon catfish) is the source of this 1811-nucleotide long non-coding RNA. RefSeq lists it as uncharacterized. The record is from RefSeq and is a predicted model, not a curated record. Lineage: Eukaryota; Metazoa; Chordata; Actinopteri; Siluriformes; Ariidae. The transcript is spliced from 2 exons.